Molecule: ribosomal RNA, 473 nt
Filed under: uncultured organism
Description: partial 16S ribosomal RNA
Rfam family: Bacterial small subunit ribosomal RNA
Source: RNAcentral
ACACUCCUGCGGGAGGCAGCAGUGGGGAAUAUUGCACAAUGGGCGCAAGCCUGAUGCAGCCAUGCCGCGUGUAUGAAGAAGGCCUUCGGGUUGUAAAGUACUUUCAGCGGGGAGGAAGGCGAUAAGGUUAAUAACCUUGUUGAUUGACGUUACCCGCAGAAGAAGCACCGGCUAACUCCGUGCCAGCAGCCGCGGUAAUACGGAGGGUGCAAGCGUUAAUCGGAAUUACUGGGCGUAAAGCGCACGCAGGCGGUCUGUCAAGUCGGAUGUGAAAUCCCCGGGCUCAACCUGGGAACUGCAUUCGAAACUGGCAGGCUAGAGUCUUGUAGAGGGGGGUAGAAUUCCAGGUGUAGCGGUGAAAUGCGUAGAGAUCUGGAGGAAUACCGGUGGCGAAGGCGGCCCCCUGGACAAAGACUGACGCUCAGGUGCGAAAGCGUGGGGAGCAAACAGGAUUAGAAACCCGUGUAGUCCCA